RNAcentral lists this ribosomal RNA (605 nucleotides) under Enterobacter sp. H06_90_27F_1072939_034. Its description in RNAcentral is "bacterial SSU rRNA". It matches the Rfam family "Bacterial small subunit ribosomal RNA", at positions 93 to 692 of the family's 1533-position model. The record is from RNAcentral. Lineage: Bacteria; Pseudomonadati; Pseudomonadota; Gammaproteobacteria; Enterobacterales; Enterobacteriaceae.
GAGUGGCGGAACGGGUUGAGUAAUGUCUGGGAAACUGCCUGAUGGAGGGGGAUAACUACUGGAAACGGUAGCUAAUACCGCAUAACGUCGCAAGACCAAAGAGGGGGACCUUCGGGCCUCUUGCCAUCAGAUGUGCCCAGAUGGGAUUAGCUAGUAGGUGGGGUAACGGCUCACCUAGGCGACGAUCCCUAGCUGGUCUGAGAGGAUGACCAGCCACACUGGAACUGAGACACGGUCCAGACUCCUACGGGAGGCAGCAGUGGGGAAUAUUGCACAAUGGGCGCAAGCCUGAUGCAGCCAUGCCGCGUGUGUGAAGAAGGCCUUCGGGUUGUAAAGCACUUUCAGCGGGGAGGAAGGGAGUAAGGUUAAUAACCUUGUUCAUUGACGUUACCCGCAGAAGAAGCACCGGCUAACUCCGUGCCAGCAGCCGCGGUAAUACGGAGGGUGCAAGCGUUAAUCGGAAUUACUGGGCGUAAAGCGCACGCAGGCGGUCUGUCAAGUCGGAUGUGAAAUCCCCGGGCUCAACCUGGGAACUGCAUCCGAAACUGGCAGGCUUGAGUCUCGUAGAGGGAGGUAGAAUUCCAGGUGUAGCGGUGAAAUGCGUA